This 77-nucleotide transfer RNA is filed under the name Nocardia sp. SYP-A9097. RNAcentral describes it as "tRNA-Glu". It matches the Rfam family "tRNA". Rfam says of the family: Transfer RNA (tRNA) molecules are approximately 80 nucleotides in length. Their secondary structure includes four short double-helical elements and three loops (D, anti-codon, and T loops). Further hydrogen bonds mediate the characteristic L-shaped molecular structure. tRNAs have two regions of fundamental functional importance: the anti-codon, which is responsible for specific mRNA codon recognition, and the 3' end, to which the tRNAs corresponding amino acid is attached (by aminoacyl-tRNA synthetases). tRNAs cope with the degeneracy of the genetic code in two manners: having more than one tRNA (with a specific anti-codon) for a particular amino acid; and 'wobble' base-pairing, i.e. permitting non-standard base-pairing at the 3rd anti-codon position. The record is from RNAcentral. Lineage: Bacteria; Bacillati; Actinomycetota; Actinomycetes; Mycobacteriales; Nocardiaceae.
GGCCUCGUGCUCCGUUGGUUCGGGCACCCUGGUUCUCAGCCAGGACUACGCGGGUUCGAUUCCCGCCGGGGUCACCA